AAGGCCAGUGGCUGGGUCUGGUUUUCUCAACACGGCCUCCUAGUCUCCUUCCCGCUUGGGCAUCUGUUUUUCUUAUAUAGACCCUGAAGCCGCCCGUGAUGUUCUGUAAGCAGGUUCCGCUUCAGAAUCAGAGGUACUUAAGAGGGAACCUGGAUGCUAGACCUGCCCUUGCUGCUGGCCUCAGUUUCUUUACCUGUAAAACAGGGAUUUUGGAACUGUUAAAUUAAAUCAAACUUAAAAGAAUUACAACUUAAAGCUGCUGGAACUUUACAUGAUCCCGAGCCUUGAGAGGAAUGUGGCUAUGCAGCCUGAGUCAUGUGGCAUGCAGAUGCAACCUCUGCCUUUUUCCGCUGUAAAUAAUUAAGAAGACCAAGUAGCAUCCAAGAGUCACCUAAGCUGAAGAUUCCCUUGAGAACAAGUACUGUCCUGUGGUUUCAUGGCCUUUCUUCCAUUUGUGGUUCUUGCCAAGCGGAAUUUAAAUGACAUCUUAUCAAGAUGGAUAAACCCUAGUUUCCCAGUGCUGGAAUAUAGAAAAUGGAUGGACAAGUAAAUCCCACUCAGCACCCAUAGCCCAGGCAUGGGGACCUCAACACAUUUGAGCCGCAGAGAUCACCUUUCAUUGUGAAUAGCUCUGAGAUGAUACUUCUGGUUGGUAAGUGCCCACUGGCAAUAGUUUAUAUAACAGCAAGUGAAGGAAUAAAUAGUCACCAAAACAUUUUCUGUCCCUAAUUCCAGCAUAAAUUGGAUUAGAUAGUUAUUUUAUGAAGAAUUUCCUAUGCCACAGUCCUGACCAUAUCUUCAAGUGAACAGAAAAAUUUGAUUAAAAAGUCAACCUUCUGUCUCACUCUGUUGCCCAGACUGGACUGCAGUGGUGCAGUUAUGGCUCACUGCAGCCUCAAUCUCCUGGGCUCAAGCAGUCCUCCUCCCUCAGCCUCACAAGUAGCUGGGACUACAGGUACUUGUCACCACACCUCACUAAUUUUCGUAUUUUUUUAAAUAUGUGGAUUCCACAGGACUGACUUCAAAAACUUGAGUAUGUGUGGAUUUUGGUAUACACAGAAAUGGGGGAGCUGGAAUUAAUCCCGCCAUAUACCAAGGGACAAAUUGUAUAUAUUUUUACAAUUAUACUGUAGGAUACAUUACAUUCCAUGACAAUGGUAGUUUUUAAUAACAAUUUUUAAUUGAGUGAAAUUACCAUAAAAAUAACAAUAGUAGCAGCUAAUAUUUACUGAGCUGUUACUAGGUGCGUAUAAAUACCAUAGAUUUUUAAAUUCCCUGUAACUCUUCCUU
Long non-coding RNA from Homo sapiens (human), 1290 nucleotides. Ensembl annotates it as long intergenic non-protein coding RNA 265. The record is from Ensembl. NCBI's taxonomy places the organism in Eukaryota, Metazoa, Chordata, Mammalia, Primates, Hominidae.